RNAcentral lists this ribosomal RNA (279 nucleotides) under uncultured bacterium. Its description in RNAcentral is "partial 16S ribosomal RNA". It matches the Rfam family "Bacterial small subunit ribosomal RNA", at positions 506 to 784 of the family's 1533-position model. The record is from RNAcentral.
UGCCAGCCGCCGCGGUAAGACGGAGGGUGCAAGCGUUAAUCGGAAUUACUGGGCGUAAAGGGCGCGUAGGUGGCCGUGUAAGUCGGAUGUGAAAGCCCCGGGCUUAACUUGGGAAUUGCAUUCGAUACUGCAUGGCUAGAGUGUGGCAGAGGAAAGCGGAAUUCCCGGUGUAGCGGUGAAAUGCGUAGAUAUCGGGAGGAACAUCAGUGGCGAAGGCGGCUUUCUGGACCGAUACUGACGCUGAGACGCGAAAGCGUGGGGAGCAAACAGGAUUAGAUA